GUGUCAGCAGCCGCGGUAAAACGUAGGGGGCAAGCGUUGCCCGGAUUCACUGGGCGUAAAGCGGGUGUAGGCGGUCCUCUAAGUCGGAUGUGAAAUCCUACGGCUCAACCGUGGAACUGCAUCCGAUACUGGAGGACUUGAGGACGGUAGAGGUCGGUGGAAUUCCCGGUGUACCGGUGAAAUGGGCAGAUAUCGGGAGGAACACCAGUGGCGAAGGCGGCCGACUGGGCCGAUCCUGACGCUGAGACCCGAAAGCCAGGGUAGCGAACCGGAUUAGAUACCCGGGUAGUCC
This 292-nucleotide ribosomal RNA is filed under the name uncultured bacterium. Its description in RNAcentral is "partial 16S ribosomal RNA". It matches the Rfam family "Bacterial small subunit ribosomal RNA", at positions 505 to 796 of the family's 1533-position model. The record is from RNAcentral.